GUCCGCACCGUAAACGAUGAUUACUCGUUGUUGGCAAUAUGACCGUCAGCGACCAAGCGAAAGCGAUAAGUAAUCCACCUGGGGAGUACGCCGGCAACGGUGAACUCAAAGGAAUUGACGGGGCCCGCACAAGCGGAGGAGCAUGUGGUUUAAUUCGAUGAUACGCGAGGAACCUUACCUGGGCUUGAAAGUUGGUGACCGGUCCUGAAAGGGAUCUUCCAGCAAUGGCGCGAAACUAGGUGCUGCAUGGCUGUCGU
This 257-nucleotide ribosomal RNA is filed under the name uncultured bacterium. RNAcentral describes it as "partial 16S ribosomal RNA". It matches the Rfam family "Bacterial small subunit ribosomal RNA", at positions 793 to 1055 of the family's 1533-position model. The record is from RNAcentral.